ACAAGCGGUGGAGCAUGUGGUUUAAUUCGAUGCAACGCGAAGAACCUUACCUGGGCUUGACAUUCUGGGGAAUCCCCUGGAAACAGGGGAGUGCCUUUCGGGAGCCCCAAGACAGGUGCUGCAUGGCUGUCGUCAGCUCGUGUCGUGAGAUGUUGGGUUAAGUCCCCGCAACGAGCGCAACCCUUGUCUUUAAUUGCCAUCAUUCAGUUGGGCACUUUAAAGAGACUGCCGGUGGUUAAGCCGGAGGAAGGUGGGGAUGACGUCAAGUCCUCAUGGCCUUUAUGCCCAGGGCUACACACGUGCUACAAUGGGUGGUACAAAGGGUAGCGAUGCCGCGAGGUGAAGCCAAAUCCCAAAAAGCCGUCCACAGUUCGGAUUGGAGUCUGCAACUCGACUCCAUGAAGCCGGAAUCGCUAGUAAUCGUGGAUCAGCAUGCCACGGUGAAUACGUUCCCGGGCCUU
This 461-nucleotide ribosomal RNA is filed under the name uncultured Syntrophaceae bacterium. RNAcentral's name for it is "bacterial SSU rRNA". It matches the Rfam family "Bacterial small subunit ribosomal RNA", at positions 925 to 1382 of the family's 1533-position model. Lineage: Bacteria; Pseudomonadati; Thermodesulfobacteriota; Syntrophia; Syntrophales; Syntrophaceae. The record is from RNAcentral.